UACGUAGGCAGCGAGCGUUGCUCGGAAUUAUUGGGCGUAAAGGGCGCGUAGGCGGUUUGACAAGUCUGAUGUGAAAUCUAUGGGCUCAACCCAUAGCCUGCAUUAGAAACUGUCGGGCUUGAGUAUGGGAGAGGUGAGUGGAAUUUCCGGUGUAGCGGUGAAAUGCGUAGAUAUCGGAAGGAACACCUGUGGCGAAAGCGGCUCACUGGACCAUAACUGACGCUGAGGCGCGAAAGCUAGGGGAGCAAACAGG
RNAcentral lists this ribosomal RNA (253 nucleotides) under uncultured bacterium. Its description in RNAcentral is "partial 16S ribosomal RNA". It matches the Rfam family "Bacterial small subunit ribosomal RNA", at positions 524 to 776 of the family's 1533-position model. The record is from RNAcentral.